CUACGGGAGGCUGCAGUGGGGAAUAUUGCACAAUGGGGGAAACCCUGAUGCAGCAACGCCGCGUGAGUGAAGAAGUAUUUCGGUAUGUAAAGCUCUAUCAGCAGGGAAGAAAAUGACGGUACCUGACUAAGAAGCACCGGCUAAAUACGUGCCAGCAGCCGCGGUAAUACGUAUGGUGCAAGCGUUAUCCGGAUUUACUGGGUGUAAAGGGAGCGCAGGCGGUCUGGCAAGUCAGAUGUGAAAGCCCGGGGCUUAACCCCGGGACUGCAUUUGAAACUGUCAGACUAGAGUGUCGGAGGGGCAAGCGGAAUUCCUAGUGUAGCGGUGAAAUGCGUAGAUAUUAGGAGGAACAUCGGUGGCGAAGGCGGCUUGCUGGACGAUAACUGACGCUGAGGCUCGAAAGCGUGGGGAGCAAACAGGAUUAGAUACCCCUGUAGUC
RNAcentral lists this ribosomal RNA (439 nucleotides) under uncultured bacterium. RNAcentral describes it as "partial 16S ribosomal RNA". It matches the Rfam family "Bacterial small subunit ribosomal RNA", at positions 339 to 795 of the family's 1533-position model. The record is from RNAcentral.